CACAGUGGCUCACACUUUUAAUCCCAGCACUUUGGGAGGCUGAGGUGGGCAGAUCAUGAGGCCAGGAGAUCAAGAUCAUCCUGGCCAACAAGGUGAAACCCUGUCCCUACUAAAAAUACAAAAAAUUAGCUAGGCACGGCAGGGUACGUCUGCAGUCCCAGCUACUCAGGAGGCUGAGUCAGGAUAAUCGCUUGAACCCGGGAGGUAGAGGUUGCAGUGAGCCGAGAUCGCACCACUGUACUCCAGCCUGGGAGACAGAGCCAGACCCCAUCUCAAAAACAAACAAACAAAAAGACAAAUAGACAUGGCCAGGCGAGGUGGCUCACACCUAUAAUCUCAGCACUUUGGGAGGCUGAGGCGGGCAAAUAACGAGAUCAGGAGUUUGAGACCAGCCCAGCCAACAUGGUGAAACCCUGUGUCUACUAAAAAUACAAAAAAUUAGCUGGGCAUAGUGGCGGGUGUCUGUAAUCCCAGCUACUCAGGAGGCUGAGGCAGAAGAAUCACUUAAACCUGGAAAGCGGAGGUUGCAGUGAGCCAAGAUCCCGCCACUGCACUCCAGCCUGGGCUACAGAAAAAAAAUCUACAAAAGACAAAUAGACUGAUAAUAAAAAAUGCUGGUGAGGAGGGGAGAAAUGGGAACACUCCUACAUUGCUGGCAGGAAUGUAAAAUGGUAUAUGUUUGGAAAACUCUGCCCCUACCGCAAAAUCUCUCUCUCUUUCCCUCCCCCACAAAGAGGCUCCCUUAUCUCUCACUUUACAUACCGGCCCUAGCCCUCCCUCCGCCCAGCUUCCCGCCCAGCAGUUCAAACUGACCAACAGUUGCCCACCACCUCGGCUUUUGGCUUCCCCACCCCCCAGCCCUUCAGCCCCCUAUAAAACAACCCUGCUCCUCUGAGCGGCGCGGCCAUUUUUCCUUUUCGUCCCGGCUGGUCCGCCCGGAGGCUCUUUCCUCUCAAUAAAGCCUGAACUUAAGGAAUUUCCUCUAGCCUGCGGUCCGGUUUUUUCCGAACGAGCUCAGUCUUCCCGCAGAGGGUAGGUCGGACAAAUGGUGCCGGAAACCCGGGACGGGAGCUGAGGCCGUUGGCCCGGCCACGGCCCCCCUCCCCGACCUACCCAACACUGGCCCUGCCACCUCCACGUUCCGAUUAAGGCUGGAUUGAAGCUUACCCCACAGCCUCUGAGUCUGCCGGGACAGUAGCCACUCAUCUCAUUCAAGACAUCAUCCCACGCUUUGGACUCCCAGCUACCAUACAGUCAGACAACGGCCUAGCCUUUAUCUCCAAAGUCACUAAUGCCGUUUCUACCUCUCUAGGAAUUCAGUAGAAGCUACAUGCCGCCUACCAUCCCCAGUCCUCUGGUAAGGUAGAACAGGCCAAUGGCCUAAUAAAGGAGCAUCUGACCAAGCUCAUGCUUGAGCUCCGCCAAUCCUGGGUAACCUGACUUCCUAUCGCCCUCACCAGAGUAAGAGCAAGCCCCCGGGGCCCAUCACAGCUUAGCCCAUUUGAGCUGCUGUAUGGUUGCCCCUUCCUGCUUUCAACUCCCCCACCGCCAGAGACUACUCCUCUAGACAGCUACCUCCCCUACUUUACUCAGGAUUAGGAGGAGGGGCACUAGUCCACUCUCACCUGGCCAUAGCCCGACUGACCUCACAACUCCAAGCGGCUAUUGAUGACUCUACUGAGUCUUUAGCAUCACUCCAACGACAGAUCACCUCAGUUGCCCAAGUUGCCUUGCAGAACCGAAGAGCCCUGGACCUGCUCACUGCUGAAUGAGGAGGGACCUGUAUCUUCCUACAGGAAGAGUGCUGUUACUACAUCAAUGAAUCCGGCCUAGUAGAAACCCGAAUCGAGAGCCUCCAGAAACUCAAAACUAACCUGCAGAGUCAGAAGUUCUCGGCUGAAGCCACGGCGUGGUGGUCUUCCUCUAUGUAUACCCUCUUGUCACCAUUGCUUGGGCCCCUAAUAGCUGUUUGCCUAAUCUUACUUAUUGCUCCUUGCUUUCUACAGUUCCUAUAGCGGCGCUUUCAAGAACUGACUCGAGUCACCAUCCACCAGAUGCUGCUCCAACCCUACCCUGAACGAGUGCAAGAAACAGACCUCUCCCCGAACAUCCAGGCUCGUUAAGAAAAGAGACCUCUUCAGAACCCCCAUCGACCCUUGUCAGCAGGAAGUAGCUAGAGAGACAACCGACGCCCCUGACCCCCUCUUUUUCUUUUCUUUAAGGAGUCGGGAAUGUUUGGAAAACUCUGCCCCUACCGCAAAAUCUAUCUCUCUUUCCCUCCCCCACAAAGAGGCUCCCUUAUCUCUCACUUUACAUACCGGCCCUAGCCCUCCCUCCGCCCAGCUUCCCGCCCAGCAGUUCAAACUGACCAACAGUUGCCCACCACCUCGGCUUUUGGCUUCCCCACCCCCCAGCCCUUCAGCCCCCUAUAAAACAACCCUGCUCCUCUGAGCGGCGCGGCCAUUUUUCCUUUUCGUCCCGGCUGGUCCGCCCGGAGGCUCUUUCCUCUCAAUAAAGCCUGAACUUAAGGA
Molecule: non-coding RNA, 2531 nt
Organism: Callithrix jacchus (white-tufted-ear marmoset)
Lineage: Eukaryota; Metazoa; Chordata; Mammalia; Primates; Cebidae
Source: RefSeq, a predicted model, not a curated record